RNAcentral lists this ribosomal RNA (343 nucleotides) under uncultured fungus. RNAcentral's name for it is "eukaryotic LSU rRNA". The stretch from base 1 to 108 matches the Rfam family "5.8S ribosomal RNA", at positions 49 to 154 of the family's 154-position model. Lineage: Eukaryota; Fungi. The record is from RNAcentral.
CGAAGGGCGAUAAGUAAUGUGAAUUGCAGUAUUUUCAGUGAAUCAUCGAAUCUUUGAACGCACCUUGCGCUCCUUGGUAUUCCGAGGAGCAUGCCUGUUUGAGUGUCAAUUAAAUUCUCAACCCCGUAACCUUUUGGGUUUCGGGGCUUGGACUUGGAGCGUGCUGGCCGUUCCGGGGUCGGCUCCUCUCAAAUGGCAUCAGCGGAAUCUAACCUUUGGUUUCCGGAAGUCGGUGUGAUAAUCAUGUUGCGCCGUCGUCUGACCUCAAAGUCCGCUUACAAUGGUCUUUAGACAACUUAUCAAAUUUGACCUCAAAUCAGGUAGGACUACCCGCUGAACUUAA